AUGAGACGGCUCAAACAAUAAUUUUGCCUUUUAUAGUUAAACUAGAUUAGUUUAACAUGUGAAAUGUCUGUAAAGUAUCAUCAUAUGAUUGGCUUUAGGGCACAUUUCUAACAGUCAAUGCCCAAUUAGCAAUAGCUAAGAACAUUUUAGGAAUGAACAUUAGAGAAAUGUCUCAUUAAUGUAACUUACUUAGAUCACUUCUCUCUUAGAUUAAAUACAUUCCUUGGAUUCCCCUAUUGCUUAAACACAUAAUACAAUAAAUAUUGAUUAACAAUAAGUUUAACACAAUACGUAUUCCAAAAGCUAUUAUAUCAAAUGAGUGGCUUUGUGGGCAUACUUCCAACAUUGUGAUCAUACUUGAAAUGUGUGCCUUGUGAAGAACAUCAUACAACAACAACAAUGCUACUAUUCCAAACUCAUAAGCAAAGGUUUUUCCAAAUGUGCGACAUAGGUUUUUUUUUUUUUUUUUUCAAAUGUUAAUAAUUAAAAGCUAGAAAGAGCCUACAAAUAGAAGGAAAUUUUAAGGAAAACUAAUGAAAAUGGCUUGAAAAGUUUUAGUUUUAAUAAAUAAAAAACCAUGUUAUAAGUUUUGUUUAAUAAUUAGUACAAAGCCAUAUUAAAGUAGUUCAACUAAAAAUGGCCCAACUAUAAUAAAUUACGAUUUGUCAAUUUUACCUCUAACUUUUUAGGUUGAGUUCCAGAUUUUCGUCGUUAAUGGAGUUCAUCGUUGUUUUGCAGACAUUCUUCUUUUUCUUUGAAACAAAAAGGCUAAAUAGCCAAAAUGGACCCUGAGAUUUGCAUAACUCAUCACUUUGGUCCCUAACAUUUCAAAUCAAUAAAAGUGAUCCCUGAGAUUGUCCACCAUCCAUCAUUUUGGUUUUUACGUUAAAACCUCCGUUAAAUGUCCCGGAGCUCUUGGCCGGAAGUUUAGGCAAUUUUCAAAGCUUCGUAACUCAAUCAUUUCUUAACCAAAUUCGACCCAUAAUAUACCAAAAUGAAGAUAGGAAAGUGUAGAAUAAGAUUAUACCUAUUUGGAAGCCCAAUAGUUGUCGGAGAUGGCUGGAAAAUAGCCUCAAAGUUGACUGGUCAAAGGAAAAAUUGGAAAACUAGAAAACUCACUGUAAACUGGGUAAACUUUAAACGUUCAUAACUUCUUCAAUACUCAACGAAAUCAAGUGAUUCAAAAACUAAAAUCAUACUUCUCGAAGACAGCAACUUUCGAGCCAUUUUCCAGCCAAACCACGACAAGUUAGCCGUCGACAAAGGUACCAUUCUCUUCAUUUGGUCGAGAAAUAUGAUUUUAGUUUUCGUAUCAUUUGAUUUUGUUGAGUAUUGAAUAAAUUAUGAACGUUUAAAGUUUACCCAAUUUUCGGCGAGUUUUCCUAUUUUCCCUCGGACCAAUCAACUUUGAGGUUAUUUUCCGGCCAUCUCUGGCAACCAUUGGGCUUCCAAAUAGGUAUAAUCUUAUUCUACACUUUCUUAUCUUCAUUUUGAUAUAUUAUAGGUUGAAUUUGGUUAAGAAACGAUUGAGUUACGAAACUUUGAAAAUUGCCCAAACUUCUGGUCAAGAGCUCUGGGACACUUAACAGAGUUUUUAACAGAAGGACCAAAAUGAUGGAUGGUGGACAAUCUCAGGGACCACUUUUAUGGAUUUGAAAUGUUAGGGACCAAAGUUAUGAGUUAUGCAAAUCUCAAUGACCAUUUUGGCUAUUUAGCCAAACAAAAAUAUAUAUUCUCAUGCUAUUUAAUUUAUAUUUUGUAUUAUUUCAUUGAAAUGUGAUAGUCGUUAUUAUUCACAGUGUAUUCGAGGUACUAUUUUUCAAUUUUUCUUCGUUAGUGGAGUUCAUCGUUUGUUUCUCCAGAAAAUAAAUUUGAGAUCUGCAUGCUAUUCAAUAAUAAUGAUGGAUCACUGUUUCUGAACUGUAAAAAUUUAUCGUUUCUGGAUUUUAAGUAACAUUGUUUCUGGUAUCUAAAUUACUGUUUCUGGAAUCUAAGUCACUGUUUCUGGAUCAAAAUGAAACAGAUACACUGUUUCUUAAAUGUAAGUUAGAAAAGAAAUAGUGAAAUUCCUUAUAUUUGGAUUCAAAGCAAAAUAAACAUCAUUUUUCUUAAAUAUAAUCAACAGAUGCAUGAAAGAAAAGAAAUAGUCAAAGGUUAAAACAUAAAAAGUACAAAAAACUACCUCAACUAUUGGUAUCAUGACACUUUCAUACCUCAUCUUACUAAUUUGUGUCAAUGUCAGACCUCCGUCAGUUUUUCUGUUAAUUUUUCUAUUAAAUGCUGACGUGGCUUAAGAUGGGCUCCACUCCUUAGUCCAACUGGAUUAAAAAUAAUUAAAUA
RNAcentral lists this long non-coding RNA (2340 nucleotides) under Malus domestica (apple). Its description in RNAcentral is "long non-coding RNA (MDOM_LNC004335)". The record is from RNAcentral. Lineage: Eukaryota; Viridiplantae; Streptophyta; Magnoliopsida; Rosales; Rosaceae.